Molecule: long non-coding RNA, 1359 nt
Organism: Uranotaenia lowii
Lineage: Eukaryota; Metazoa; Arthropoda; Insecta; Diptera; Culicidae
Exons: 3
Source: RefSeq, a predicted model, not a curated record
UGAAAUUUAAAACCCUUAAUAUUACAUGACAUAGAACGCGAUUUCGUUAUGGAAAUCUACUAAAUUGAACCGUCAGCAGCACUGAAAUUGAGUCACAUCAAUAUUACAUGACACAGAACACGAUUUUUUAAUGUAAAAUUCCGUCACACAUGAUGCUUCUUUUUAUUUACAUCAUAUGUGAUGUAAUUUUACUAAUAUUUUUGUACACACAAAAAUAUGAAUCCUUAAAAGCACUGAAUAAGAAUUUUCUGAAAAUUACACGACUCGGAGUUUGAAUGCAAUUAAUAGAACAUAACACUGAACGCAAUAAUGUCAUGUAAAAAUACAGACUGUCGGAAACAGGCACACACAAAACGUCAGUGGCAGUGGAAGUCAGCGAAAAAAUUUUGAACCAAUUGCUCGUUUCACUCUUUUUACUAAAAUUUAAGUUUGCCGUGCCAAACAGAUAAAAAAAUUUAGCACAGCGGUACGCUGAUGGAAUUUCAGGCGAUUCGCAUUGUUUUGUUUUUGGUGCGAUAUUUUGGUUUUCGAAAUUGGAAUUUCCAUUGAAAGAAAACUAUUUCCUCAAUCGUCCUAGCAUCCUCAAAGUCCGGCGAGAGGUUAAAUUUGACCAUAUAAGUUGACGCAGUAUGUGGAGCUACACCGGAAAGAUGCCACCAGCAACGAUUAGCGCUUCCUUCACUCGCUCAGCAGCCGCAUAGGAACAUUCCAACAUACAUCAACAUCAAGGCCAUGUCACAGAAUGAAAUUAAACCUCCAAGGAUAAUGCUUCAAGAACAAAAACCUAUCCGAAUAGAGGAUACAGAUCCACUUUGGCUGUUUGUCAAGCAUCAGGGUCCCCACCGAUCUGGAGGUUAUCAAUAAGCUGAGAAAAUCGGGAAAACUAAAAAACGAAAUAUAAUAACCUAUUCAGCGGAUAUGGCACAGCAAAGGUUCAUGAAACUUGGUGACGGGAAACGCGUCUGGAAAUCUAAUUUCUUGUGCCCACUCUUUUUGGACCGGUUUCUGCCUACCAGCACAAAGCGCAAACGUACAUCCAGUUGGCUUCCCCCGGAGCCAAAGGCAUCAUCCCGUUGCGGGCUAUCUUACAUCUUCGAAAGGUUUUAAUGCUGCAAUAUUUUGGUAAGAUAACGCGAACAACAGCAAUCAAAACUAAAACCAACUAGAAUAUCUGAAAAGAGUUAUUUUUAUCUUUGGUGUUCUUAUCAUUCCCAGAAAAACUAAAAUUUAUGGCAUCCGCAUGACGCUUAAUUGUACAAGUAGAAACUAUUUUCUCAUGUGAAUUUAUUCAAUAAAAAUCAUGUUUGAACGUGUAUAAUGUCUUCCAUUAUUACAUAUCCAGAAAUUAGUUUCAAAUUG